Molecule: ribosomal RNA, 322 nt
Filed under: uncultured Bacillota bacterium
Lineage: Bacteria; Bacillati; Bacillota
Description: bacterial SSU rRNA
Rfam family: Bacterial small subunit ribosomal RNA
Source: RNAcentral
GACGAACGCUGGCGGCGUGCCUAACACAUGCAAGUCGAGCGGAGAUUAUAGCAAUGUAAUCUUAGCGGCGGACGGGUGAGUAACGCGUGGGCAACCUGCCUUUCACUGGGGGAUAACACAGGGAAACUUGUGCUAAUACCGCAUAACAUCACGAGAUGACAUCUUCUUGUGAUCAAAGGAGUAAUCCGGUGGAAGAUGGGCCCGCGUCCGAUUAGCUAGUUGGCGGUGUAACGGACCACCAAGGCGACGAUCGGUAGCCGAACUGAGAGGUUGAUCGGCCACAUUGGGACUGAGACACGGCCCAGACUCCUACGGGUGGCUG